UACGGAGGGUGCGAGCGUUGUCCGGAAUCACUGGGCGUAAAGGGCGCGUAGGCGGCUCGGGUAGUCAACGGUGAAAGCUCAGGGCUCAACCCUGAGUCGGCCGUCGAUACUCCCGUGCUUGAGCACUGUAGAGGCAGGUGGAAUUCCGGGUGUAGCGGUGGAAUGCGUAGAGAUCCGGAAGAACACCGGUGGCGAAGGCGGCCUGCUGGGCAGUAGCUGACGCUGAUGCGCGACAGCGUGGGGAGCAAACAGG
Molecule: ribosomal RNA, 253 nt
Filed under: uncultured bacterium
Lineage: Bacteria
Description: partial 16S ribosomal RNA
Rfam family: Bacterial small subunit ribosomal RNA
Source: RNAcentral